Molecule: ribosomal RNA, 2268 nt
Filed under: human metagenome
Description: bacterial LSU rRNA
Rfam family: Bacterial large subunit ribosomal RNA
Source: RNAcentral
UCAAGUGAAUAAGAGCAUAAGGCGGAUGCCUUGGCACUGGGAGCCGACGAAGGACGUGACAAGCUGCGAUAAGCUACGGGGAGGAGCACAUAUCCGUCAAUCCGUAGAUUUCCGAAUGGGGGAACCCACCUAUAGUAAUGUGUAGGUAUUUUCGUAUGAAUCUAUAGUACGAAUAAAGGCAACCCGGGGAACUGAAACAUCUAAGUACCCGGAGGAAGAGAAAGAAAAAUCGAUUUCCUAAGUAGCGGCGAGCGAAAGGGAAAGAGGCCAAACCGUUAGUUUACUAACGGGGUUGUGGAUCACAGCCGUGGUAGAUACAAGUUUAGCAGAAGACAACUGGAAAGUUUGCGACAUAGAGGGUAAUAUCCCCGUAUGCGAAAAAUGAGUAUCACCUAUGUGACACCAGAGUAGGACCGAACACGUGGAAUUCGGUUUGAAGCCGGGGGGCCCACCCCCCAAGCCUAAAUACUACCCAGUGACCGAUAGUGAAUAGUACCGUGAGGGAAAGGUGAAAAGGACCCCGGGAGGGGAGUGAAAUAGAACCUGAAACCUUAUGCUUACAAGCAGAGGGAGCGCAAGUGACCUCGUACUUUUUGUAGAACGGGCCAACGAGUUAUGGUAUGCAGCGAGGUUAAGGUGCUGGAGCACUGGAGCCGUAGAGAAAUCGAGUCUGAAAGGGCGAAAGUUGCAUGCUGUAGACCCGAAACCGGGUGAUCUAUCCAUGUCCAGGUUGAAGUAACUGUAAUAGGUUAUGGAGGACCGAACUUAUAUCUGUUGAAAAAGGUUAGGAUGAGGUGUGGAUAGGGGUGAAAUUCCAAUCGAACUCGGAUAUAGCUGGUUCUCCUCGAAAUAGCUUUAGGGCUAGCCUCGUAGUAAGAUACCUGGGGGUAGAGCACUGAAUGUUCUAGGGGCCUUCACCGGUUACCGAAAACUAUCAAACUCCGAAUACCAGAGUAUCAUCUACGGGAGUCAGACUAUGUGAGAUAAGUUUCAUAGUCGAAAGGGAAACAGCCCAGACCGUCAGCUAAGGUCCCAAAAUAUAGGUUAAGUGGAAAAGGAUGUGGGGUUGCACAGACAGCUAGGAUGUUGGCUUAGAAGCAGCCAUUCAUUCAAAGAGUGCGUAAUAGCUCACUAGUCGAGUGACCCUGCGCCGAAGAUAAACGGGGCUAAAACCUAUUACCGAAGCUACGGAUACUUAAUGUAUGGUAGAGGAGCGUCGUAUACGGGUUGAAGCAGUACUGUAAGGUAUUGUGGACUUUAUACGAGAGAGAAUGUUGGCAUGAGUAGCGCGAGGCAGGUGAGAAUCCUGCCCACCGAAAAUCUAAGGUUUCCUGAGGAAGGUUCGUCCACUCAGGGUUAGUCGGGGCCUAAGCCGAGGGCGAAAGCCAUAGGCGAUGGAUAACAGGUAGAAAUUCCUGUACCACCGAAGGUUGUUUGAAUGAUGUGGGGACACAGGAGGAUAAGCUGAGCACGCCGUUGGUAGAGCGUGUCCAAGCGUCAAGGGAGUAUGAAUAGGCAAAUCCGUUCAUAUAUAUUCUGAGGCGUGAUGGGGUGGUCAAUAGACCGGAAGCAGCUGAUUUCACACUGUCAAGAAAAGCCGCUAAUUAGACCUAAGGUGCCCGUACCGCAAACCGACACAGGUAGAUGAGGAGAGAAUCCUAAGGUGAGCGAGAGAACUAUUGUUAAGGAACUCGGCAAAAUAACCCCGUAACUUCGGGAGAAGGGGUGCCUGCUUCGGCAGGCCGCAGUGAAAAGGCCCAGGCAACUGUUUACCAAAAACACAGGUCUCUGCAAAAGCGAAAGCUGAAGUAUAGGGGCUGACGCCUGCCCGGUGCUGGAAGGUUAAGGGGACGUGUCAUCGCAAGAGAAGCACUGAACUUAAGCCCCAGUAAACGGCGGCCGUAACUAUAACGGUCCUAAGGUAGCGAAAUUCCUUGUCGGGUAAGUUCCGACCCGCACGAAAGGCGUAAUGAUCUGGACACUGUCUCAACAAUAGGCUCGGUGAAAUUGUAGUACCGGUAAAGAUGCCGGUUACCCGCAGCAGGACGGAAAGACCCCGUGGAGCUUUACUGUAGCUUGAUAUUGAGUUUCGGCGUUGCAUGUACAGGAUAGGUGGGAGACAAUGAAGCAAGUACGCCAGUAUUUGCGGAGUCAUCGUUGGGAUACCACCCUUGUAACGCUGGAAUUCUAACCAUGUACCGUGAUCCGGUGCUGAGACAGUGUCAGGUGGGCAGUUUGACUGGGGCGGUCGCCUCCUAAAGAGUAACG